UACGGAGGAUGCGAGCGUUAUCCGGAUUUAUUGGGUUUAAAGGGUGCGCAGGCGGCACGGCAAGCCGGCGGUCAAAUCGCGGGGCUCAACCCCGCCCAGCCGUCGGAACUGCCGGGCUAGAGUGGGCGAGAAGUGCGCGGAAUGCGUGGUGUAGCGGUGAAAUGCAUAGAUAUCACGCAGAACUCCGAUUGCGAAGGCAGCGCACCGGCGCCCUACUGACGCUCAGGCACGAAAGCGUGGGUAUCGAAUAGG
This 252-nucleotide ribosomal RNA is filed under the name uncultured bacterium. Its description in RNAcentral is "partial 16S ribosomal RNA". It matches the Rfam family "Bacterial small subunit ribosomal RNA", at positions 524 to 776 of the family's 1533-position model. The record is from RNAcentral.